This 362-nucleotide unclassified non-coding RNA is filed under the name uncultured bacterium. Its description in RNAcentral is "contains 16S-23S intergenic spacer region". The record is from RNAcentral.
UCCGGUUUAACACCGGCAGUCGCGUUAGACAUGGUAACUAACGCCGAGGGUUGCGCUCGUUGCGGGACUUAACCCAACACCUCACGGCACGAGCUGACGACAGCCAUGCACCACCUGUGAUCUUGCCCCGAAGGGAGACUCUGUUUCCAGAGCUGUCAAGAACAUGUCAAGCCCAGGUAAGGUUCUUCGCGUUGCGUCGAAUUAAACCACAUACUCCACCGCUUGUGCGGGCCCCCGUCAAUUCCUUUGAGUUUCAGUCUUGCGACCGUACUCCCCAGGCGGCGAACUUAACGCGUUAGCUUCGAUACUGGGCACCAAGUUGUGCCCAACAUCCAGUUCGCAUCGUUUAGGGCGUGGACUAC